RNAcentral lists this ribosomal RNA (482 nucleotides) under Triticum aestivum (bread wheat). RNAcentral describes it as "partial small subunit ribosomal RNA". Lineage: Eukaryota; Viridiplantae; Streptophyta; Magnoliopsida; Poales; Poaceae. The record is from RNAcentral.
GCACCCAUCAUCUCCACUCCCAGUAGAAACUGUUGUCGUUUCCUCUGCUCCCAACAGCGCCUCCCACAUUACUCCCUCUCUAUCCCCUGGCCCAGCAGUUCAUCUGGUGGAACCACGACAUGAACGCCCUGAACUCUGCCUACUAGCAAAUGUCCUCGCAACUCCUUUCUCCAGAUCUCUUCAUGUCGCCGUCGCCACCGCGUCCACGGAUCAAUAUUGUUCCGCCAUGAUAUUUUCUUCGGGUCACUAGUGUUGCUUAUUUAUGUCAACGUCAAGUGUUUGCCACAAUGGAAACCUCCAGGACGGGAUGCGUACUUUUGUAAGGCCACAUGUGUGUAGGUACUUUCAGCAAAACUGCACAUGGAUUAUUAGGUUGCUCAUAUGUAUAAAUGGAACUGAAUUAGCCGGUUAAGAUUUCAAACAUGUUUUCUUUCUCUCUACUCUGAUGUAUCAUUUCAUUUGAAGGCAUUUAUAACAUUGGU